CCCCCGGGAACCCGCUCCGAAAGCUAGUGAGCGCCGAACCCGGGCAGACCUAGACCACUUGACGUUUGCAGUAGAGCAUUUAGACCGCGGGUCGAACCGCGAAGGGGAAGGAGAGGCUGCGAGGCAGGUCUGCGUGAGGAAGUGGGAAUCCGGGUGUGGGUCUUGGUGAGCCUGAUUCUCCCACGCUCUGCCGAACCCUUUCCCCCAAGUGAAGCCCUUCUCUUCCUCCCAGCCUCUCACGAGAUGUCACAUCUUGUCACCAGCCACCUCCACCUCCGUGAGAAUAUCCUGCAGGCAUUUGUUCCCUUUGAGCCGAGGCCCCUCUCCGAAGAGCCUUGCUGCAGGAUAAAACAUGCUUCGCACAAAGUCCAUUCCUGAUUCAGUGAGGGGGCAUGAAAAACAUUCUUCUCCAAGUGCUCCCAAAUGUUACCCUCUAUUCUGAAGCUAAUGGAUAAUGCCUCUACUUCGUCUGUUCUCAGCAGCUGUGGCCAUCAUAUAAAUGAAUAUAUGAAUUAAAUUAAUGUGCAUGUCGGCUUUUUCUUGGAAUCUGCCCUAUAAGGCAAGGUGACUCUGUGACUGACAUGGCCACGUGGCGGAUGUAUAUGAGGAAGAAAAGCACACCGGGUUUUAAAGGCAGCGUCUACAGCGGCUUGACAAACAUGAGACGAAAGGAAGCAAGUCACUUUUAGGGAGAAUUUGUUCAUCAGACACAUUUACCCCAAUUUCUGUUAGAUAAAUUUCUGUCAGAAUUCCUGUUGUAAGAAAGUACGUGGCCAGUUGUCAGAGAUGCUGUUGGGUGCCCCACCUUGAUGCCCUUUACUGGGCUGGGGCAUGCCACCCAGUGCUGUGAGUGUGGCCUGCUAAAAGCUCACCACCGCCCCUUCCUACACCUCCCAAUAGCCUCCCAACACCUCCCGACACCAAGGGGCAGUGGAUUAUGCCAGAAACAGGAGCCCUGAGGCUCAGCUUUACCAGAGGCCACAUCCUGGCCUACGUUUCCCCCUUCACUCCCUCAAUAAUUUUUUCCUAUAGAGCACUUCCAUAGCUGCGAUCCCCUGUCUUUAUCCAGAUACACAGGAAACUGGGAAUCAGAAGGGAUUUAGAAGAAAUCACACAGCCAGUUAAUGACAGAGCAGCCAAGGCAUCCUCAGCCUCUUUACUAUGCUGUGCACCGGCCUUCCCAUGUGCCUUGCUGAAAUCUAUUACAUUAGCUAAUUUAAUAGUUUUCCAUUUCUAUUUGUUUUCAAAAAGAAUGUAUGGAAUAUAUGUAUAGAAAAGCUUAUUGAUUUAACUCUUUCUGUUAUCCACAUCUAUGAGAAGCUAAGCUAUUUAGAUGAUUAAUCACCACUAUCAUACUACAACCAUCGAUCCAAAUUAUAAGCAUAAAUAUCUGUGGAGAUAAUUAAAAAUGUGAGUUUCCAAGACCAGCAUUCUAGUGAGGUCUUUAAAGAGCUAACAAAGGUUACAAUCCUUAAAGAGCUUUUGCCAUGUGAUAUUAACUGUUGGUAGAAUAACAUUUGCAUUGCACAUUAUGGUUUAUAAUUCACUGUCAUAAAUAUUUCAUUUAUCUUCACAGCAACCCUGUGACCUGAGCAUACUAUUGAGAUCUCUGUUUUAUGUAUGAAGAAACUGAAGUUAGAAGAUAUUAAGGGACUUCCUCAAUAUCUAAUAAGUUGCAUAGUGAAGGUUUUAAGUUGCAUAGUAAAGAUUUGACACAUAAUUGUGGGGUUUUUCAUUAGCAAAUUUAGAGCCUUUCUACUUUAUUGUGUUUUAUCCACUUUAUUAUGUUUUGUCAUUUCUUAAAUUAUUGGAGAUUAUAACAUCAGUUUAUGGUUUAGUCAUUGUGAAGCUCUGUAGUACUAUUUGUAUUUUAGAACACAAGACUUUCUAGAAAUUCUACAAGGUAACAAAAUAAGCUGCAUAAUUAAACAUUUACCCAAUUUCUAUGAA
This is a long non-coding RNA of Miniopterus natalensis, 1950 nucleotides long. RefSeq lists it as uncharacterized. The record is from RefSeq and is a predicted model, not a curated record. Lineage: Eukaryota; Metazoa; Chordata; Mammalia; Chiroptera; Miniopteridae.